CACAACAUGAACUGCCUUAAAGGGUAGCAGCACUAGGAAGGUUGAGAACCCCUGGAACCUCAAGCUUUCCCUCUGAAAAGAAACAAAGCGGCGGCGGCAGAUGCGUCCGAAGGGAGGGGAGCGGAGCUCGGCGGCCCGGACCCCCGGACCCCAGGCGAGUGAGACAUGUCAGCUCCUGGCAGCACCCUCAUGCUACUUCAGAGAAGAUGAUGGUCAUUGAAGAACCUCCAUAUGGAGUUUGCUUCAGCUGCAGCAAUGGGCAAGAAACUGCCCUUGCCUCGAUUGCAGACAGCCUGCUAUCCAAACUGGACAAUCUGAACACAGGGAAGUCGACUGCCAAGCUUUGCCAAGACAAGGUGCGGAGCGUGCAGCGAUGCAGAGGAAAGCAACUAGGAGACCUGCCUCGGAAGAAACACAUUGCAACAGCCUGCCGUGACGCCUCUUCCGCCUGUUUGGGGGACCUUACAUGGGCAAAGAUGGCAUCUUUACCUCACUGAUCUACUACAGUCUGCUGGAAGGGGCUUUCGCCAGGACCACUUGAGGUCUUGAAAAAGAUUCAUAUCUGUCAGUGCCAGUGGGACAGCGGUUGGUUCAGCGGAUGAAGGUGUGCCACCAAGCCAGACCACUGGAGUUCAGGCCCUGGGGCCUACCCGGUGGAAGAAAACCAUUCCCUCAGAUUAUAUCCUGUGAGUUCCACACAUGGGCCAUACUGUGUGCACCCCCCUUGCAAAACUAAGUGUGAAACAAAAGAAUUUCUGUUAUUGAUGUGUAUGUUUGUGUUGGUGUGUGCAGGGGCUCAUGGAAUCUAAGAGAGAACCUGAGGUCCCUGGAGCUGGAAUUGCAAGCAGUCAAACCUGGUUCCUCUGCAAGAGCAGGAGGAGCGCUUAGCCGCUGAGCCAUCUAUCUCUCCAGCUCCAACCUGAGGCCUCUCAGUUGGAUCUGCUUUUCCAGUGCACCUGAAACUCUUGUUGCCUGGAUCUUGCCCUGACCCCAAAGAUCCCAAAGAUGAGAACUAAAAUAAAUAAAUAAAAAUUUUACACUAAAGGAUGACAAGAACAAAAAUAAAUAAAAACACAAAGCAUAAAUGUAAA
This is a long non-coding RNA of Psammomys obesus (fat sand rat), 1091 nucleotides long. RefSeq lists it as uncharacterized. The transcript is spliced from 5 exons. Lineage: Eukaryota; Metazoa; Chordata; Mammalia; Rodentia; Muridae. The record is from RefSeq and is a predicted model, not a curated record.